UUAGAAACAUUUGUAAGAAAGAGGACAAACCAAAUUUUAAUUUCAUUUUCCUAAUCACCAUUACAUCUUGCACAGUAGAUAAGAGUCAUUGCAAUACACGACAACCUUCAUUUUUGGAAACAAGACAUCAUCGAAACAAAGAAAAAUUCCAAUUCUCGAGUGGGUUUGGAAAAUUCAAUUUAUUGUACCAGAGAAUUCACGUCCUUAAUAACUUAAAAUACAAAUUGAAACUGACAAUUCCCAUACAGAAACCUCAAACAAGCUAUAGAUCACAUCUAAAAUACAAUAUUCCUCCUCUUCUACUUGGUUGAAGGUGUCGUCUCUUGCUUCCUUGUCUGUGUCUUGUGGAAUCGAUCCUGCAGGAUCAAAACAUGAAAAUAUAAGAUCAAGAAAGUGGAAUGCAACAGUCUUCUAAUUAACAUUAGAAAUCAAUGCAGGUCCUAACUCACAACUAGAUUGAACAAUGAGAUGCAGUAGCUAAACCUUCCUAAAGACACUUUUUAAAGCUCAGAAUAAGUGGUUCGUAAAGAGCAUUUUGUCAAAGCUACACACUUUGACUGCUAUGUAAUUUUUUUUGAAUAAAAUAUGAAAGGAAGUUUCCAAUUGAUCUUCAAUAAA
Molecule: long non-coding RNA, 618 nt
Filed under: Olea europaea (common olive)
Lineage: Eukaryota; Viridiplantae; Streptophyta; Magnoliopsida; Lamiales; Oleaceae
Description: long non-coding RNA (OEUR_LNC012954)
Source: RNAcentral